GCGCCCGCACCCAAUCACCCGCGUCUUGCCCCACUCCCACCCCAGCCGCCAAACGAACCCUAGCCCUCUUUCCCUUUCCCCUCGAUCCCCACGAGCCGCCGCACCCCUCCCUCGAUCCCCACCAUCCUCUCCUCGCCAGCAGCCGCCGGCCGACCUCGUCUCUCCACUCGCCUCCUCCUCUCCUCUAUCAUGUCACCGUCGAUCCCACCGCCAGCCUUCUCCUCUGCUCGCCUCCUCCUGUCCUCUUCCAUGUCACCGUCGAUCCACAUCGGACGUAGGUCGUCUUCGCGGUGCGGGUGGGGAUGUAGGGGAGGUGUAGGAUGCGGACGACAAGGGAAGGAGGAGGCCGGCGAGGAAGGCAAGCAACAGCGGGGAAGGAGAAGGUGAGCGAUCCUAGCAUGGGGAAGGGGCAGGGUGAGGCCUCGCGCACCUGCCGGCGGCCGGCAGGUCGACUUGUUGCGCCACCGCGUCGUCAUCUCCUCUGCACCAUGAGAGGCGCCACCUCUGCCUCCACCCCCCCCCCCCCCCCCCCCACUGGGCAAGGAGCUCGAGGUGAACAGGCGGUGUGGGAAGGCGAGAGGAACUAGGAGCUCAUCUCUCCUCCCAUGGCUGCCUCGUGGAUCUGGAGGUGCAGGCGGCUCGAGCGAUGCAAGCCGGCGGCGAACUAGAUCAUGCUAUGUUUUAGCGCUCAUGGAGUUCCUCUGGCAUACGUUGAGUCUGGUGAUCCUUACAAAACAUAUAUGGAAGGCUAUGGAUCUUAUCAUGGAUGAGCUCGAAAAUAUAGGAAUUUCAAAUCCAUGUAUACAUCACACUCAUACCCGAAACUGAACAGGGACAAGCACAUGCAAUUAUAUGCUGUGGUAGAUUUCAAAAGAGACCCAUGGCCUAGAGUAGUUUUGCGCAAAUGAAGGAUACCAGGCUGACCCAUAGAGCAUGAGACCCUCUUUGUCAGGGGCCACCUUACUUGUAUGGCCUCAGGCUGAGGGGACCCUUCUAAUUAAGAUCCUAUGCGCCUGCCUCCUUCCUCCAGCUGCGUGAAGGCUAACGUGAGGAGCUGGCGAGCUAAAGAAGGAGCUGGAGCAGGACUGUAGGAGGGAGGUACACUAGGGGCCGGAGCAGGACAACCAUUGUUUCAGAUCCACUUGACUCAUCCCAAGUGGUUGCAAUAAAGCGCAGCAUGUCAAAUUGAUCGGUGUCCAUCUCCCUCAAUUUCUGCAUAUUUAUAUUUGGGAAGUGAACCAGGCUACUCAUCGAUUAAUAAAAGCUUUAUAGUUCUGUUCUCCUUCCAUUAUUUCUUCAUUAUUAUUCAUUUAUUCUCUUAGAUUAAAGGUAUUAUUGUGAUGAUGUCCUGUUGUUCUGUAAUGUAUUUUUGAUUUUUUUUCUGUGAUUGUACUCAAUGGUGCUUGCAGGUCCAUGGACAUUGUCAUAAUGGUCACCUUAUCGCAGUGUGUUAUUUUUGGAUCUCAUAUUCCUCAAGGCGCUCCAUUCUCUGAUUCGAUGUCUGACGAUCUGAGAAAUAAGAGGAGGAAUAAUCCAGCAGAAGAAUUUGGUGAAGAAGAACAAGAAAAGAAUACCUUUAUCCUGAUAGGCAUGGAAACACCGGUUCGCAUUGAGUGCAUCAUCGCUAAUCAGCUACUAUUAGAGAGCAAGGGACAUAUAAGAAAUCUCCAGGUAGCUUCACUUAGAUGCAUCAUCUUCUGCUAGGAGUCAGCUUGAAGAACGGCCUUCUCAGGAGACUGCAACUGACAUGCUGGAUGGGGAAUAACCAAAUUUGUGGACAAAGACACAGUUCAUCGCAAGGGGUGGUGUUUAGGAUAUGUACACAAAAGAGGAAACUUUUUUUGUACAGAACCAAAUUAUACGAUGUAUUUGACCACUAUUUCUAAGAAAUGUUCAUCAUGUAUUAAGUACAUUUUAUUGUGUCACUUUUUUUUGAGGGGUAGCUUUAUUCAUCAAACAUUACAAAGUGUGCGAUAGAGUUCAUCAAACCAGGCUUUAUUGUGUCACCUA
Molecule: long non-coding RNA, 2010 nt
Organism: Triticum aestivum (bread wheat)
Lineage: Eukaryota; Viridiplantae; Streptophyta; Magnoliopsida; Poales; Poaceae
Exons: 9
Source: RefSeq, a predicted model, not a curated record